GAUGAAGAACGUAGCGAAAUGCGAUAAGUAGUGUGAAUUGCAGAAUUCAGUGAAUCAUCGAAUCUUUGAACGCACAUUGCGCCCUAUGGUAUUCCGUAGGGCAUGCCUGUUCGAGCGUCAUUCAAACCUUCAAGCUCUGCUUGGUGUUGGGCGUCUGUCCUGCCUCACGGCGCGGACUCGCCUCAAAUCUAUUGGCGGCCGGCACGUUGGCUUCGAGCGCAGCAGAAACGCGAACUCGAGACCGGCGGAUCGGCUCCCAGAAGCUACCCCCAUGAAUUUGACCUCGGAUCAGGUAGGGAUACCCGCUGAACUUAAGAAUAUCAAUAAGCGGAGGA
RNAcentral lists this unclassified non-coding RNA (335 nucleotides) under soil metagenome. Its description in RNAcentral is "partial contains 5.8S ribosomal RNA, internal transcribed spacer 2, and large subunit ribosomal RNA". The stretch from base 1 to 120 matches the Rfam family "5.8S ribosomal RNA", at positions 35 to 154 of the family's 154-position model. The record is from RNAcentral.